ACGCUCACCUGGACUGAAGUCAGGUAUCUGUAGCUGUAACAAACCUGUUCUCGGAGUUUCAGUUGUUUGUUUGUUUGUUUGUUGUUUGUUUGUUUCAGAAGCAGCAUCAAGUCUUCCAACCACCAGUCCUCCUCCUCCUCCUCCUCCUCCUCUCUGUCCUCCUGCUCCUCCUCGUCGGCGUUGGCUCAGGAGCUUUCCCAGCAGGCCUCGGCGCUGCCCGAGGCCGAGGCCAACAGCCAGGUGGACUGGACCUACGACCCCAACGAGCCCCGAUACUGCAUCUGUAACCAGGUUUCUUACGGAGAAAUGGUCGGCUGCGACAACACAGACUGUCCCAUCGAGUGGUUCCACUACGGCUGCGUGGGUCUGACGGAGGCCCCCAAAGGGAAGUGGUUCUGUCCUCAGUGCACGGCCGCCAUGAAGAGGAGAGGCAGCCGCCACAAAUAGACCCUGACGUCCAGGUCGUCCUCACCACACGCAGCAACGCCACAGAGGUCAGAGGUCAACGGGCCGGCCGCAAACGAGACGCUAAAAACGCUCACAUUCAAACCAGAAGACAGACGGGUGUCUGUGUUUUUCUCUGAGGACACAGAGACAAACACUUUGAUCCGUCCGGUCCACAGCUCGAAUCGUCUAUCAGACUGAAACCAGAACUCAGAUGUUUCAACACUAAUUUCAUGGUUUCCUCCUGCUAAAGUCAAAAUGUUAAAAACUCAAACUGUCGGUCAAACAGGAGCAUCAAAGUAACGUCUGAUCCCAUUAUUGAAGACGUCUUCACGCUGGACAGACUGUGGACGUGUCAACAAUAAUCUCACACAUUUGGUUUCCAGCAGAAAAACAAAACAGACAUUUAAAAAAGUGAACCAGCUUUAAGGGGACCGCACAGACUCCCAGAGGUCAGAGGUCAGCCUGCUGGGUUAAGGUUAAACCAGAGGACUAAAGGUCGGAGCGGAGGACCGACGUCUCUGCAAAACACGCUCAGUUAUGAGACAGAUCCUUAAAAAGUUUCGGCGAUUAAAAUUCAGAUCAGCACAUUAAAUUAGCCAGCUGAAAUAAAGUGGACCUGAACAAAAGUUCAAACCUUUGAUCUCAAAAUCUUAGACAGAAAUAUUGGAUUUUGAGGACAGGAUCAGAACUCAGACUCUGAUUUAAAUCACUCUGCAGUCUUUGAGGACAGGAAUUUGACUUUUGUUCUCAUAUUCUGACUUUAACGUAACAUCAUUCGAUCAAAAGUCCAACUUGUUUUACCUCAAAGUUCGAAUGUCUGUGAACCCUGAAUUAAUAGAUUACAGUUUUACUUUUCCGGCAUAAAUCGCAGAAUUCAGACUUUAUUAAUCUUCCAUCUUUAUCCACGAAAAUAAGACUUUUUUCAUUGUCACAGUCAGUUUAGUUUAUUUGCAAACAAUUUAAAACUGCAUGAAGUCCAGAUGAAUAAAACGUGAGACCCCCCGCUAUUUCAAAACAACAAACAAAAACAAAACAAACAAAAACCCCGAAAAUUACAACAAAAGCUAAAUGACAAUAAAGAGCAGAAAAAGGUCAGUAAACACUCAUCCAACAGCAGAAAAAAGGAAAUAUUUUCUAUAUACGCACAUCCAGAAAUAAUGAAAGAACGACUUUUUCAAAGAUGAUUAAAACGUGACGACGGUUUUAGGAAGAAUUUUGACUUUUUAAAAACAUAAUUUCUUUUUCCCACUUUAUUUGUAAUUUGUCCAAAUUCUGACGCGUUACAUUUCAUUAAUCUGAGGCCUGUUUCUGUCUUAAAUCUGAGAACGCUGACGGAUGUUCGUGACGUUUGUCUCACAGUAAAUGUUCCCAUGAGGCCGUGCUCCUCUCCUCUGCUGGGUUGUUAAAAAAAAAAAAAAAAAAAAAAAAAAAAAAAACUACAAACAUGGCGGGCGAUUGGACUACAAGUACAGAAGAAGCUGUUUGGAACCGUUAAAAUUAAAAUGAACCAGAUGUGUGUGUGUGUGUGUGUGUGUGUGUGUGUGUGUGUGUGUGUGUGUGUG
This is a non-coding RNA of Plectropomus leopardus (leopard coralgrouper), 2009 nucleotides long. The record is from RefSeq and is a predicted model, not a curated record. Lineage: Eukaryota; Metazoa; Chordata; Actinopteri; Perciformes; Serranidae.